This is a long non-coding RNA of Biomphalaria glabrata, 2715 nucleotides long. RefSeq lists it as uncharacterized. The transcript has 6 exons. The record is from RefSeq and is a predicted model, not a curated record. NCBI's taxonomy places the organism in Eukaryota, Metazoa, Mollusca, Gastropoda, Planorbidae.
UGUGAUAUUUUAUUUUUUGUCAUAUUUUCAUUAUUAAUUAAAUCACUAUCUGUAUUUUUUCUGUCAAUGCUAUAGAAUUAGAGAUAUACUUAUGGUAUCUGAAUGAAAGCUUGCUUAUCUAAUUUUAAUAUAUACUCCAGAAUUUACUGUUAUGCCUGAAAGGAUUUUGUAUUGCUAACAAUUAUUAUUUUUCAGUGUCAUAACGAUGCAGCUUCCUGGCCAGUUAAAAAGAAGGAAAAAUAAAGUCUUAAGGUGAAAGAAGAAAUUGUACAAUUCAAAGAGACUUCUGAUAUAUUAUAAAAAGAAAGUUCAAUGUUUACGAGAGGAGUUAUAGAAAAGCCAACCUCACCUAAAACAGUUAUGAUGAUUUAUCUUUACAUCUGUUUGAGGAGCCUACAGGAAAUGCAAAUUAUACAGAUGAAAAAAUAUCCUUCACAAUAACAUUGCACUUUUACAGUCCUAAUGCAUAUGAGUUUCUUUCUACCACGUUUAACCUGCCUUCAACCAGAACACUAAAAAGAUGAUGUUGGCAAGUUUACCUUCAUCUAUUUCAGUCAUGAUUGCCUUUAUAUGUGGACAAAUAAGCCUAUACAGUAUUUCCAAGAAUGAGAACUUUGCAGGGUAGAGUCAUUUGACUUACAAGCCUCUUAGAGACCACUGGGACAUUGUUCUGGGCCGCCUUUGGUAUGGGGAACUCUCAGGCACCAGCUAUUAAAGAAGAAACAAAUAGCAGUCAGGUUAAUGGUGACUCAGAGAUAAAAGACAGUGUGCUGCUGAAAGUCAUUGAGGUGGUUGGCUACCCCGUUUUGUAUGGAGUUUACAUUCUUGAUGCUGUCAUGGUCCUGAUCAACUUGUUCAUUGCUAUGAUGAAUUUGAAGACAUUUAGAAUGUCCAAAAGAUUAGUCAGCUAAGGAGCCUAAAAUGUUAGCCUGUUUACAAAUAUGAGAUCUUCCUUGACUACACAAGUACCUUACAAAAGAAGGCUACUCACUUGUGUUUGGAUAUGUCAGCUGUUUUGUCCCUGUGGCCCUUUUCAAGCAUGACAGAUUCUAUUCUAAGCAGCUUUUUUCUCUGGAAAUUUUUCAACCACGGAAGCUGUGAGGGAUAUCUGAAAUCCAUUGCUUACUUGUCUAGAAAGACUUCCAUCGAUUGAGUGAUAAAAGAUUAAGUUUACACAACUUUUAGUAGUCACCACAUAACACUUAACAUUUUGAUGCUCAAGACAAUACUGCUCAUGAAUGGUUUAUUUUUCUUUAUGCUGAGAGUGUCCAAGAAAGAUAAGGUCAAAGGUUAAUUGGACAAACAAUAAACUUAGUCUUUGAAUCUGAAAUUGUAGAACUUGUAGAGAAAAAAAACAACUUAGUGUUGUUGUUAAUUUACCAGGUACCAGGUACCUACUAUUCAUUUACUUUGACUGUUGACUUUAAGUUAGAAAUUAAGGAAAGAUUUCUUUGAGCUAUAUUUGUCAAUGACCAUAGGCAUUAAGAGAGUUGACACCUCAUUUAACUUUUCAACAAGAUGAUGUCUUAAAAAAAUUAAGAGCUUUUGAUGGAAUUCUGUGGUUGAAUAACAUAAGGAAUAAUCACAGGAUUCCAUCAAAAUCAUUGCAAUUUGAACAUUGUUGGUAGUGUCAAUGUUAUUAAGUUUUUUAGUUCUUGGUGUUACUACAUUAUUCAUUUUCUAGUGACCAGGCAGUGUUUUAUACCAUGAAUGAAUAUGUUGUAAGAGGUUUAAGGUAUACCACUCAAUCAAUAAUAUCUUUGACAAUAAAAUAUUUUGAUCAAGUUUAUAUUUUUGGAACAGAAUAUGCUAAUGUGUUAAAUGUACAUUUUUCUUUUUUUAUGGAAUAACAACUGAUAUUUAGUUUUAUCCCUUUGUAUCUUUCUACAGUAGAUGCACUGUCAUACUACAUAGAAAUUAAAAAAAAUUAUAAUAACUUCUAAUCAAAUUGUCUCAUUUUUAAAAUCAAAUAUCUAAAUGAAUCAUGCUACUUUGAUUCUACACAAUCUACAGGACUACCAAUGUACAUUAGUUUUGAACAAAAAGUUGCUAACUUUAAAUAAUUGAUUAACUCAUUUUGAUAUUUAUGUAUACCUUGUAAUAAAAGUGGCAUUCAUUUUACAAUUUCAUUUUUUUUUUAUUGUAACUGGUCUGUGUUAAUUUCUUUUUUUUUUUUCAAAUUACUUUGUAUUGCCUAUAUGGGGAAAUGGUAUUUCUGGUGUUUCUUUGCUCAGCAAAAACAAAUCAGGAUUUGAACUCAAGCCCCCUUGACAGUGGUUUAUGCCAGAUAUCCAGCAUUUCAUGCAGUUUGUAGGCCAAAUUUAAUACUCACAGUGCCCCAGUGCAGGUAGAAAGAGGAAACCUUGCCACAUUAAUGUUUGCUGCUCCAGACUUGCUGCUCUCUAUCUCAACUGAUCUAGGAAGCACUACAGCUGGGUUUCAGUCCACUGCAUUGGCUAGAGAGGAUUUCAGUCUCUCAGGCUGCAAAAUGAAGUCUGAUGUGAUUUUAUUCUUUAAAAGUUGUAUGGAUGUCUUUAAGCUACAUAACUUAUCCUAGUCCAAUGUGUUGAUUGACAUAGUUACCAGGUACUGGUACUAAAAAAAUUGCCGCUUUUAUCCUCCCCUUCCAGCAACCCUUAGAUCUAGUUUUUCUAAAUUUCUAGUAGUUUAAUAGUGCUUUUCCAUAUGUCAUUAAAAAGUUAUGUUAAAAGUUAA